CAUUCACCAUCCAACGAGUUCUCUGUAUUUUCUUUGUAUUUGAUUUUCUUAAUGUACAUAGAGGUUACCUGUAUCUAUGAUGAAAGAUGAAAGGCUUGUUUCUCAUGAACAUUCGCAGUGGCCGCCUGAUCGAACUUUCGCCUUCGCCAGGCUUGAGAGUUAAUGUUGCUCCAUCCUUCCUUCCUUGGAUGUCUGAGAUCCUCCUCCUCUUUUUUCAAUAAACAUUCGCAGUGGCCGACUAAGAGCUUUCGCCUUCGCCAGGCUCGAGAGCUUAUGCUGUCUUGCUCCUUCCUUCCUUGGAUGUCUGAAGUUU
Long non-coding RNA from Helianthus annuus (common sunflower), 313 nucleotides. RefSeq lists it as uncharacterized. The record is from RefSeq and is a predicted model, not a curated record. The transcript is spliced from 2 exons. NCBI's taxonomy places the organism in Eukaryota, Viridiplantae, Streptophyta, Magnoliopsida, Asterales, Asteraceae.